UCAAUUAAUUAUAAUAAUCUUUUAUAAAAUUAGAAGAUUUACAGCCACCAACCACAAAAUAAUCAAAUGUCACCCACUAAAAUAUGGUGCAUCCACUAAUCGUUUUCUAGCAUGCAUGGUGAUAUUCAGAUUGGAUUCUACACUAUCUAACCACGCUUGUUUAUUGAUAUAUCUUUAGCUCAAAUUGUGAAUUACUAGAUAUAUAGUACCUCCCAUUUUUAUAAGCCAAAUCUAUAGACAUACCAAAUGAUAUACAUAUGUUAUGUAGAGGGUCGUGUUCUUGAGUUUUUGAUACAUUAAAAAAUCUCUUAAAUUUUACUGUUUUAAUCUUCUCUCUCUACAUAAUUCUUAGACCAUUCCAAUG
RNAcentral lists this long non-coding RNA (364 nucleotides) under Malus domestica (apple). RNAcentral describes it as "long non-coding RNA (MDOM_LNC009865)". Lineage: Eukaryota; Viridiplantae; Streptophyta; Magnoliopsida; Rosales; Rosaceae. The record is from RNAcentral.